UACAGAGGUCUCAAGCGUUGUUCGGAUUCAUUGGGCGUAAAGGGCUCGUAGGCGGUCCGUCACGUCGGGAGUGAAAUCCUGGGGCUUAACCCCAGAACUGCUUCCGAUACGGGCAGACUAGAGGUAGGUAGGGGAGAAUGGAAUUCCUGGUGUAGCGGUGGAAUGCGCAGAUAUCAGGAGGAACACCAGUGGCGAAGGCGGUUCUCUGGGCCUUAUCUGACGCUGAGGAGCGAAAGCGUGGGGAGCAAACAGG
This 253-nucleotide ribosomal RNA is filed under the name uncultured bacterium. RNAcentral describes it as "partial 16S ribosomal RNA". It matches the Rfam family "Bacterial small subunit ribosomal RNA", at positions 524 to 776 of the family's 1533-position model. The record is from RNAcentral.